RNAcentral lists this long non-coding RNA (1978 nucleotides) under Otus sunia (Oriental scops-owl). Its description in RNAcentral is "lncRNA (ENSOSUG00000010072.1)". The record is from RNAcentral. Lineage: Eukaryota; Metazoa; Chordata; Aves; Strigiformes; Strigidae.
CUCCAGAGCCGCGCAGAGGGCGGCACGGCCGGAUUUUCUCCAUCACAAAAUGUCCCUGAGCGGGGCCUUGAGGAAGCUGAGGGCUGGGGGGUGCCGGGCACUGACCCAGCGUGGGCAUCGUGCGUCCCCUGAGGGGCCAGGAGGGCCCGAGGAUGGCCUGUGGUGGCCAAGAUUCUGCUCUUGUUGCCACAAAGUGACUCAGGCACCAGCAAAGGCCCCGGGCAGGGGCUGGGGGGGCCCUGGCCGUGCCGCUCAGCAUUUCCCUCGGAGCCCCGCAGCGCGUUGGGAAGCGGCUGCCGGGCAGCACGGCCACUCGCCAGCCCCCGCGGCUCCGUCUGCCAGCACCUGCCAGGGCUGGGGCAGCCCAGGGUGGUCAGCGGGAGCCCCCGUGGCCCCCACAGCCCCCACACAGAGCAGGGAGGGCUGGGCCUGCCCUGAGCACCCCCCCGGGCUCAGCACCCCAGUCCUGCGGGCAGGAGUUGUCAUGGCAGCCAAUGUGCUGUGGCCAGGGAGGUGAUGCCAGCGCUGGGGGAGCCUUUUGGGGGCUGAGCGCUGUGGCCUGGGACCCUGAGGGGUUUGGGGAGGCCAAGAUGUGGGGGUGUUUCUGCAUGGGGGGGUCACAGCCCCCAGCACCAACCUGCAUCCCAGGCAGUUGCUGGGCCCAGGGCUGCGUUUGCCCUUGAGCCCCCCCUGGCAGAGCUGAGCCCUCCCCUCCAGGCGCCCCUGCGGCUGCUCUGUCUCUUUAAAAGGACUCCAGGCGUGGCUGUGGGACCGUCAUCCCAUCCCAGCCGGACAAGGGACCGGACAGUCCCGCACAGCCCAGGACAGCCGGCGCCAGCAGCGCUGGCACACCGUGACCGCAGCCUCCGCAGCGACGUCUUCGAGGACGAGCAGGAGGAGUUCGUCUGCAACACGCAGCAGCCGGGCUGCAAACCCGUGUGCUACGACGCCGCCUUCCCCAUCUCCCACUACCGCUUCCUCGUCUUCCACGUCGUCGUGCUCUCGGCUCCCGCCGCCCUCUUCGUCAUCUUCGCCGUACACCAGGCGGCCAAGCCGGGGCGCGGGGGGGCCCCCGGCCAGCGCGGCCGCCGCCUCCAGCCCUUCUAUGUGGGCAGCGUGGUGGCCCGCAUCGCGGCCGAGCUGGGCUUCCUGCUGGGGCAGGCGCUGCUCUACGGCUUCAGGGUGCAGCCGCUCUUCGUCUGCCGCCGGCGGCCCUGCCCGCACCGCGUCGACUGCUUCGUCUCCCGCCCCACCGAGAAAACCGUCUUCAUCCACUUCUACUUCGUGGUGGGGCUGGUCUCGGCGCUGCUCAGCCUGGCCGAGCUCGCCCACCUCCUGCGCAAGGGCCCCCCGCCCCGGCCCGGCUGCUGCCACCGGCCGCAGGAGCGGGGACCGGCCCCCGGGCAGCCGGCGGGGGCCGCGGCGGAGCAGUGUCACCCCACUGCCUCCUCGCCGCCGCGGGGGGACCUGACCGUGUAGGCUGCCAUUGCUGGCACGAGCUGUGGCCGUUCUCAGCCCGGUUGGUGCCCAGCGGGCGGCUGCGGGUCUCCCAGCCCUCGCCGUGCCGGGGAAGCAGCUCGGGCCGUGUCCCCGUGCCCCCGGUUCCUGUUGUGGGCAGCGGAUGGGCCUCACCCGGCAGCUGCUGGAAAAAAAAUAUGGACAAAAGGAAAACAAACAGGGCCCAUCCCUGCGCGGCGGCAGGGACACCCCUGACCCCCCCCACUGCCCCCCCAGUGCGGCACGGGGAGGGCCAGGGCUGCCCCCACACCCUGUGCUGGGGAUGGCAUGAAGGCGUCGGGGCUCUGCGGGCCGGGGCUGGCCCCUGGUGCAGGGGGACACAACCGCAGCACCGGGGCUGGGAAGGGCAGAGCUUUGGGGGUGCGGGGGGGGCCCAAAGGGUUCUCCCCAGCUCAGCCUUUGGGGACAGCCAGACCCUGCAGCAAAGGCCCCCAGGACUCAGGGUGCUGCAGCCCUGACC